CCUACGGGAGGCAGCAGUGAGGAAUAUUGGUCAAUGGGCGCGAGCCUGAACCAGCCAAGUAGCGUGAAGGAUGAAUGCCCUAAGGGUUGUAAACUUCUUUUAUCAGGGAACAAAGUGUGGCACGCGUGCCUUUUUGAAUGUACUUUAAGAAUAAGGAUCGGCUAACUCCGUGCCAGCAGCCGCGGUAAUACGGAGGAUGCGAGCGUUAUCCGGAUUUAUUGGGUUUAAAGGGAGCGUAGAUGGGUUGUUAAGUCAGUUGUGAAAGUUUGCGGCUCAACCGUGAAAUUGCAAUUGAUACUGGCAGUCUUGAGUACAGGAGAGGUAGGCGGAAUGCGUGGUGUAGCGGUGAAAUGCAUAGAUAUCACGAAGAACUCCGAUUGCGAAGGCAGCUUGCUAGACUGCCACUGACAUUGAGGCACGAAAGUGUGGGUAUCAAACAGGAUUAGAUACCCUAGUAGUC
This 460-nucleotide ribosomal RNA is filed under the name uncultured bacterium. RNAcentral describes it as "partial 16S ribosomal RNA". It matches the Rfam family "Bacterial small subunit ribosomal RNA", at positions 338 to 795 of the family's 1533-position model. The record is from RNAcentral.